RNAcentral lists this ribosomal RNA (495 nucleotides) under uncultured Mycobacterium sp. RNAcentral describes it as "bacterial SSU rRNA". It matches the Rfam family "Bacterial small subunit ribosomal RNA", at positions 9 to 523 of the family's 1533-position model. The record is from RNAcentral. Lineage: Bacteria; Bacillati; Actinomycetota; Actinomycetes; Mycobacteriales; Mycobacteriaceae.
GAGUUUGAUCAUGGCCAGGACGAACGCUGGCGGCGUGCUUAACACAUGCAAGUCGAACGGAAAGGCCCUUCGGGGUACUCGAGUGGCGAACGGGUGAGUAACACGUGGGUGAUCUGCCCUGCACUUUGGGAUAAGCCUGGGAAACUGGGUCUAAUACCGAAUAGGAUCACGGGCUUCAUGGUCUGUGGUGGAAAGCUUUUGCGGUGUGGGAUGGGCCCGCGGCCUAUCAGCUUGUUGGUGGGGUAAUGGCCUACCAAGGCGACGACGGGUAGCCGGCCUGAGAGGGUGUCCGGCCACACUGGGACUGAGAUACGGCCCAGACUCCUACGGGAGGCAGCAGUGGGGAAUAUUGCACAAUGGGCGCAAGCCUGAUGCAGCGACGCCGCGUGGGGGAUGACGGCCUUCGGGUUGUAAACCUCUUUCAGUAGGGACGAAGCGCAAGUGACGGUACCUAUAGAAGAAGCACCGGCGAACUACGUGCCAGCAGCGCGGUAA